RNAcentral lists this long non-coding RNA (513 nucleotides) under Prunus dulcis (almond). Its description in RNAcentral is "sRNA ncRNA". The record is from RNAcentral. Lineage: Eukaryota; Viridiplantae; Streptophyta; Magnoliopsida; Rosales; Rosaceae.
GCAGUAAACUCAAAAUUAAACUAACAUUACCAAAUCUACAUCUAGUUCAACACUAAUAUGAAAUCCUCACCUUGUCUCCAAAUUAAUGGUUCAAAUACAAAUUAAAAACUUGAAAACCUGCAGAGACCAUAGCCCAAUAUUAAAACCUAAAACUUACAAUAUAAAUUAGAAAACUCAAACCUUGAAUAAUUAAAAUUAUCUUCAGUUUAACAAAAUUGAAACCCUAAACUUUCUAUCACUCACAAAUUUGUGCCCACCCACGUUUGGUGCUCGUAUCUAUAAGAGAGAGAGAGAGAGAGAGAGAGAUAGACGGCAGGGAUCGAGCUAAAUGGGGGUUUCAAUCGGGGCUGAGAUUUUUGGUAUGGGUUUGGUUUUGAAACGAAGCCUGGGAAGGAGAUUGAGAGACCAUGAGAUAUAGAGAUGAGAGAGACAAUUAGGGAGAAGAAAGAGAGAGAUACCUGAGAGGAGAGGAGUUGUGUUCAUCGCACUGUCUCGUUGUCACAGGAGGAGGAG